RNAcentral lists this ribosomal RNA (443 nucleotides) under uncultured bacterium. RNAcentral describes it as "partial 16S ribosomal RNA". It matches the Rfam family "Bacterial small subunit ribosomal RNA", at positions 338 to 795 of the family's 1533-position model. The record is from RNAcentral.
CCUACGGGGUGCAGCAGUGGGGAAUAUUGGGCAAUGGGCGCAAGCCUGACCCAGCAACGCCGCGUGAAGGAAGAAGGCUUUCGGGUUGUAAACUUCUUUUCUGAGGGACGACGAAAGUGACGGUACCUCAGGAAUAAGCAACGGCUAACUACGUGCCAGCAGCCGCGGUAAUACGUAGGUGGCAAGCGUUAUCCGGAUUUAUUGGGUGUAAAGGGCGUGUAGGCGGGAAAGCAAGUCAGAUGUGAAAACUCAGGGCUCAACCCUGAGCCUGCAUGUGAAACUGUUUUUCUUGAGUGCUGGAGAGGCGAUCGGAAUUCCGUGUGUAGCAGUGAAAUGCGUAGAUAUACGGAGGAACACCAGUGGCGAAGGCGAAUUGCUGGACAGUAACUGACGCUGAGGCGCGAAAGCGUGGGGAGCAAACAGGAUUAGAUACCCCUGUAGUC